RNAcentral lists this ribosomal RNA (467 nucleotides) under uncultured bacterium. RNAcentral's name for it is "partial 16S ribosomal RNA". It matches the Rfam family "Bacterial small subunit ribosomal RNA", at positions 28 to 507 of the family's 1533-position model. The record is from RNAcentral.
GAUGAACGCUGACAGAAUGCUUAACACAUGCCAGUCAACUUGAAUUUGGGUUUUUAACUUAGGUUUGGGUGGCGGACGGGUGAGUAACGCGUAAAGAACUUGCCUCACAGCUAGGGACAACAUUUGGAAACGAAUGCUAAUACCUAAUAUUAUGAUAAUAGGGCAUCCUAUAAUUAUGAAAGCUAUAAGCGCUGUGAGAGAGCUUUGCGUCCCAUUAGCUAGUUGGAGAGGUACCGGCUCACCAAGGCGAUGAUGGGUAGCCGGCCUGAGAGGGUGAUCGGCCACAAGGGGACUGAGACACGGCCCUUACUCCUACGGGAGGCAGCAGUGGGGAAUAUUGGACAAUGGACCGAGAGUCUGAUCCAGCAAUUCUGUGUGCACGAUGAAGUUUUUCGGAAUGUAAAGUGCUUUCAGUUGGGAAGAAACAAAUGACGGUACCAACAGAAGAAGUGACGGCUAAAUACGUG